RNAcentral lists this ribosomal RNA (466 nucleotides) under uncultured bacterium. RNAcentral's name for it is "partial 16S ribosomal RNA". It matches the Rfam family "Bacterial small subunit ribosomal RNA", at positions 339 to 795 of the family's 1533-position model. The record is from RNAcentral.
CUACGGGGGGCACCAGUGGGGAAUAUUGGACAAUGGGGGAAACCCUGAUCCAGCAAUGCCGCGUGUGUGAAGAAGGCCUGCGGGUUGUAAAGCACUUUCGGUUGGGAGGACUGCUUCUAGCACUAAUAUUGUUGGAAGUUGACGUUACCUUCAGAAGAAGCACCGGCUAACUCCGUGCCAGCGAGCCGCGGUAAUACGGAGGGUGCAAGCGUUAAUCGGAAUUACUGGGCGUAAAGCGCGCGUAGGCGGCUAGAUCAGUCGGGUGUGAAAGCCCCGGGCUUAACCUGGGAACUGCAUCCGAUACUGUCUAGCUUGAGUACAGGAGAGGAGAGUGGAAUUCCACAUGUAGCGGUGAAAUGCGUAGAUAUGUGGAGGAACACCAAUGGCGAAGGCAGCUCUCUGGCCUGAUACUGACGCUGAGGUGCGAAAGCGUGGGGGGCAAACAGGAUUAGAUACCCCGGUAGUC